This 246-nucleotide ribosomal RNA is filed under the name Streptomyces sp. LamerLS-316. Its description in RNAcentral is "23S rRNA. Bacterial LSU". It matches the Rfam family "Bacterial large subunit ribosomal RNA", at positions 2680 to 2925 of the family's 2925-position model. The record is from RNAcentral. Lineage: Bacteria; Bacillati; Actinomycetota; Actinomycetes; Kitasatosporales; Streptomycetaceae.
AGUACGAGAGGACCGGGACGGACGAACCUCUGGUGUGCCAGUUGUCCUGCCAAGGGCAUGGCUGGUUGGCUACGUUCGGAAAGGAUAACCGCUGAAAGCAUCUAAGCGGGAAGCCUGCUUCGAGAUGAGUAUUCCCACCACCUUGAGUGGUUAAGGCUCCCAGUAGACGACUGGGUUGAUAGGCCAGAUGUGGAAGCCCGGUAACGGGUGGAGCUGACUGGUACUAAUAGGCCGAGGGCUUGUCCU